GCAGUGGUGGUUCAGUGGUAGAAUUCUCUCUUUCCAUGAGGGAGACAUGAGUUCAACUCCCGGCCAAUGCA
RNAcentral lists this transfer RNA (71 nucleotides) under Loxodonta africana (African savanna elephant). It matches the Rfam family "tRNA". From Rfam's summary of the family: Transfer RNA (tRNA) molecules are approximately 80 nucleotides in length. Their secondary structure includes four short double-helical elements and three loops (D, anti-codon, and T loops). The record is from Rfam by way of RNAcentral. Lineage: Eukaryota; Metazoa; Chordata; Mammalia; Proboscidea; Elephantidae.